ACUCCUACGGGAGGCAGCAGUGGGGAAUAUUGCACAAUGGGGGAAACCCUGAUGCAGCCAUGCCGCGUGUGUGAAGAAGGCCUUCGGGUUGUAAAGCACUUUCAGUAGGGAGGAAGGUAGUGUAGUUAACACCUGCAUUAUUUGACGUUACCUACAGAAGAAGCACCGGCUAACUCCGUGCCAGCAGCCGCGGUAAGUACGGAGGGUGCGAGCGUUAAUCGGAAUUACUGGGCGUAAAGCGCAUGCAGGCGGCCUGUUAAGUCAGAUGUGAAAGCCCGGGGCUUAACCUCGGAAUUGCAUUUGAAACUGGCAGGCUAGAGUCUUGUAGAGGGGUUAGAAUUUCAGGUGUAGCGGUGAAAUGCGUAGAGAUCUGAAGGAAUACCAGUGGCGAAGGCGGCCCCUGGACAAAGACUGACGCUCAGAUGCGAAAGCGUGGGAGCAAACAGGAUUAGAUACCCCUGGUAGACUGUCA
This 472-nucleotide ribosomal RNA is filed under the name uncultured bacterium. RNAcentral's name for it is "bacterial SSU rRNA". It matches the Rfam family "Bacterial small subunit ribosomal RNA", at positions 335 to 802 of the family's 1533-position model. The record is from RNAcentral.